This 253-nucleotide ribosomal RNA is filed under the name uncultured bacterium. RNAcentral's name for it is "partial 16S ribosomal RNA". It matches the Rfam family "Bacterial small subunit ribosomal RNA", at positions 524 to 776 of the family's 1533-position model. The record is from RNAcentral.
GACGGAAGGUGCAAGCGUUGCUCGGAAUCACUGGGCGUAAAGGGUGCGUAGGCGGCCUGGUAAGUCUGGCGUGAAAGCCCAGGGCUCAGCCCUGGAAGUGCGCUAGAAACUGCGAGGCUCGAGUGCCGGAGGGGAGAGUGGAAUUCCUGGUGUAGCGGUGAAAUGCGCAGAUAUCAGGAGGAACACCUAUUGCGAAGGCAGCUCGCUGGGACGUUACUGACGCUGAGACGCGAAAGCGUGGGGAGCAAACAGG